CAUGUAGGCGGAUUAAUAAGUUUGAAGUGAAAUCCUAUAGCUUAACUAUAGAACUGCUUUGAAAACUGUUAAUCUAGAAUGUGGGAGAGGUAGAUGGAAUUUCUGGUGUAGGGGUAAAAUCCGUAAAGAUCAGAAGGAAUACCGAUUGCGAAGGCGAUCUACUGGAGCAUUAUUGACGCUGAGGAGCGAAAGCGUGGGGAGCGAACA
Molecule: ribosomal RNA, 207 nt
Filed under: uncultured bacterium
Lineage: Bacteria
Description: partial 16S ribosomal RNA
Rfam family: Bacterial small subunit ribosomal RNA
Source: RNAcentral